RNAcentral lists this ribosomal RNA (480 nucleotides) under uncultured organism. RNAcentral describes it as "partial 16S ribosomal RNA". It matches the Rfam family "Bacterial small subunit ribosomal RNA", at positions 330 to 801 of the family's 1533-position model. The record is from RNAcentral.
CGUACACUCCUGCGGGAGGCAGCAGUGGGGAAUAUUGCACAAUGGGCGCAAGCCUGAUGCAGCCAUGCCGCGUGUAUGAAGAAGGCCUUCGGGUUGUAAAGUACUUUCAGCGGGGAGGAAGGCGAUAAGGUUAAUAACCUUGUUGAUUGACGUUACCCGCAGAAGAAGCACCGGCUAACUCCGUGCCAGCAGCCGCGGUAAUACGGAGGGUGCAAGCGUUAAUCGGAAUUACUGGGCGUAAAGCGCACGCAGGCGGUCUGUCAAGUCGGAUGUGAAAUCCCCGGGCUCAACCUGGGAACUGCAUUCGAAACUGGCAGGCUAGAGUCUUGUAGAGGGGGGUAGAAUUCCAGGUGUAGCGGUGAAAUGCGUAGAGAUCUGGAGGAAUACCGGUGGCGAAGGCGGCCCCCUGGACAAAGACUGACGCUCAGGUGCGAAAGCGUGGGGAGCAAACAGGAUUAGAAACCCCUGUAGUCCCAUGAU